UUUAUAAAAAAUAUUUUUUAAAUAUAAAUUAUUUUCUGCAAAUAAAUAGAGAUUUAUAAUUAAAAGAAUUUUCAUUUAUAUUAUACACGUUGGAAAAAGAAGCAAGCAAUUUGAUGGACCGAAAAAUAAUCUAGACCGAUGUUGGGCCGAAAAUGUAUUUGAUUUUGGGCAUGAAAGCCCAUUAAAUGUCCAUCAAAUACAUUAGGUAAAAUCACAAGUUUGCCUGCUCAGGGUUUGCGUUUCGAUUUCACUCCAUCCUCAAACAGAUCAUACACAUUACACGCAGUACACACCGUAUUCUCUAUUCCUUGUGAUGAAUCUUGAUGCGUUGGAUUCAUCUGAUGAUCAUGGGAUCUCUUUUGUCAACGGUUAAAACUUAUUGUCACUGUACCAAUAACCAGACUCUUCCUACUCAAGGACACACGCAAUCAUCUUGAACAAUUGAUCAAUUGCCCGCCCAUAUUCACCUAUCGAGUGGGGCCACCUUAUAUUACCACAGACAGGUGUCGCACUUCCAAGCAUGAUCUACAGGUCACUGACCCUUGGUUGAGACACAUCAUCAGUGGAGGGCCCACGCGUAUGGUGUUAUCAAGGUGGCUUAAGAUGGCCAGAUAGUCAGGUGGUCUGGUUGAAAUCAAACUAAAAUCUAAACCCACAUCGUUCAUUGAGUUCAUUAUAAUAUUCUUUAUAAUGCGAAGCGAAAUGUGCAACGCUUGUCCCUUCGGGGACAUCCGAUAAAAUUGGAACGAUACAGAGAAGAUUAGCAUGGCCCCUGCGCAAGGAUGACACGCACAAAUCGAGAAAUGGUCCAAAUUUUUUUUUGAUCCAAAACCUUCUCGAUUGGCAGCUCUGCUUUUUUCGUGUCUCUCUGGUUUUUGUUCAAACACCUGUGCUGCAACAUUUCUUAGCUAUUGCCAACAGCAAGGGAGUAGAGUUCCAUUCGAGAGUUGUAAGUCUUAGUAGCUGAGGCCAUGGCAUGUUUGAUAGCAUCUUAGCUUUAGGCCUUGACCAAUCUAGGCCUGAUCACAAGUCAGAAUCCACUUGUGAGCCUAAUCAGAUGAUGGAAUCUAUCAGGUUGGAAUUGAACUUAGUCUCUUUUUAACAAUAGUUUCUCUCUCUGAUUUCACAUUUUGCCUUGGAUGAUUUCUUAGCUACUAGGAUCAGCACUGGAGAUUGCAUUCAAAAUUUCUUAGCUAUUGGUUUCUUUUUUUUCCUUUAUUAAAUGAUUGCAGUAUGGCACACUGCAGGAGUUUGUGCUCCAGAAUGGUUUAGCAGCUCUAGGAUGAAUCUACUAUUCAGGACUGAAGCUCUUUGCCAUUCUGCAAAUUUAUGAACUCUUUGUCUGUGAUUUAUUUAUUUAUUCAUUUAUUUUUAUUUCACUGUCGCUUUGCUUGCAAGAUAUUUUUUCAGAUAACUCCUGUGUGGUUUUUGUUGAUAAUUAAUUAUCCAGAAAAUCAAGCACCUGGAGUUUUUUUAUUGGGUGUAAGGGGACUUAGAUGCACAAGGCCAAUUUCUUCUUAGAAGUAACAUGCUUCCUAUAUAAUUUAAUACAAAUACAGAAGGUAUCCUAGUUUAGACUGUUAUGAAUUGAGAUGUAAGCUAAUAGAGCAGCUUUAACUUCAUGUUUAAGCACAGUUGUAAGUACUAGGAGCCUAGCCAACCCAUUGCAAAUUUGAUAAUGUGUUAUUAUUGGGUCUUGACCAAUCUAGGCCUGACAAGUCAGAAUCCACUUGUGGGCCUGAUGAGAUGAUGUAAUCCAUCCAUGUUGUGAAGUCAUCUAGUUGGAAUUGAACUUAGUCCCACAUCGUUUAGUUAUGCAAAGUUGAAAGCCUUUAUAAAAAUUCAACAGAAACAAAUGGUUGUCCCUUCGGGGACAUCCGAUAAAAUUGGAACGAUACAGAGAAGAUUAGCAUGGCCCCUGCGCAAGGAUGACACGCACAAAUCGAGAAAUGGUCCAAAUUUUU
Molecule: long non-coding RNA, 1964 nt
Organism: Manihot esculenta (cassava)
Lineage: Eukaryota; Viridiplantae; Streptophyta; Magnoliopsida; Malpighiales; Euphorbiaceae
Exons: 2
Source: RefSeq, a predicted model, not a curated record